GUAGGGGGCGAGCGUUGUCCGGAUUUAUUGGGCGUAAAGAGCGUGUAGGCGGUUCGGUAAGUCUGUCGUGAAAUCCUGAGGCUCAACCUCGGGCGUGCGAUGGAUACUGCCGGGCUAGAGGAUGGUAGAGGCGAGUGGAAUUCCCGGUGUAGCGGUGAAAUGCGCAGAUAUCGGGAGGAACACCAGUAGCGAAGGCGGCUCGCUGGGCCAUUCCUGACGCUGAGACGCGAAAGCUAGGGGAGCGAACAGGAUUAGAUACCCUGGUAGUCCUAGCCGUAAACGAUGGACACUAGGUGUGGGGGGAGUCGAAUCCCUCUGUGCCGCAGCCAACGCGUUAAGUGUCCCGCCUGGGGAGUACGGCCGCAAGGCUAAA
Molecule: ribosomal RNA, 373 nt
Filed under: uncultured bacterium
Lineage: Bacteria
Description: bacterial SSU rRNA
Rfam family: Bacterial small subunit ribosomal RNA
Source: RNAcentral